GACGAACGCUGGCGGCGUGCUUAACACAUGCAAGUCGAACGGAAAGGCCCUGCUUUUGUGGGGUGCUCGAGUGGCGAACGGGUGAGUAACACGUGAGUAACCUGCCCUUGACUUUGGGAUAACUUCAGGAAACUGGGGCUAAUACCGGAUAGGAGCUCCUGCUGCAUGGUGGGGGUUGGAAAGUUUCGGCGGUUGGGGAGGGACUCGCGGCUUAUCAGCUUGUUGGUGGGGUAGUGGCUUACCAAGGCUUUGCCGGGUAGCCGGCCUGAGAGGGUGACCGGCCACAUUGGGACUGAGAUACGGCCCAGACUCCUACGGGAGGCAGCAGUGGGGAAUAUUGCACAAUGGGCGGAAGCCUGAUGCAGCAACGCCGCGUGCGGGAUGACGGCCUUCGGGUUGUAAACCGCUUUCGCCUGUGACGAAGCGUGAGUGACGGUAAUGGGUAAAGAAGCACCGGCUAACUACGUG
This 468-nucleotide ribosomal RNA is filed under the name uncultured bacterium. RNAcentral describes it as "partial 16S ribosomal RNA". It matches the Rfam family "Bacterial small subunit ribosomal RNA", at positions 28 to 507 of the family's 1533-position model. The record is from RNAcentral.